UGCAGUCGACGCGAAAGUCAGCAAUGAUGAGUAGAGUGGCGCACGGGUGAGUAACACGUAAAUGAUCUGUCUAGGACACUGGGAUAACCGUUCGAAAGGAUGGCUAAUACCGGAUAAGCCCACGACCUUGGGGUUGCGGGAAAAGGGUUGGGACCUUACGAGGCCAAUCGGUUUUAGAGGAGUUUGCGUCCCAUCAGGUAGUUGGCGGGGUAACGGCCCACCAAGCCAAAGACGGGUAGCUGGUCUGAGAGGAUGAUCAGCCACACUGGAACUGAGACACGGUCCAGACUCCUACGGGAGGCAGCAGUGGGGAAUCUUGCGCAAUGGGCGAAAGCCUGACGCAGCAACGCCGCGUGGGUGAUGAAGGUCUUCGGAUCGUAAAGCCCUGUCGGAGGGGACAAAGCUUAUUUCGUCUAACAGAUGGAGUAGGUGAUGGUACCUUCAAAGGAAGCACCGGCUAACUCUGUGCCAGCAGCCGCGGUAAUACAGAGGGUGCAAGCGUUGUUCGGAAUUAUUGGGCGUAAAGGGAGUGUAGGCGGUUUUAUAAGUCUUCUGUGAAAUCUACGGGCUUAGCCUGUAACGUGCAGAAGAGACUGUAGAGCUUGAGUGUCGGAGAGGAAAGUGGAAUUCCCGGUGUAGAGGUGAAAUUCGUAGAGAUCGGGAGGAACACCAGUGGCGAAGGCGACUUUCUGGCUGACAACUGACGCUGAGACUCG
This 716-nucleotide ribosomal RNA is filed under the name uncultured delta proteobacterium. RNAcentral describes it as "bacterial SSU rRNA". It matches the Rfam family "Bacterial small subunit ribosomal RNA", at positions 56 to 755 of the family's 1533-position model. Lineage: Bacteria; Deltaproteobacteria. The record is from RNAcentral.